Molecule: unclassified non-coding RNA, 371 nt
Filed under: uncultured fungus
Lineage: Eukaryota; Fungi
Description: partial contains small subunit ribosomal RNA, internal transcribed spacer 1, and 5.8S ribosomal RNA
Rfam family: Eukaryotic small subunit ribosomal RNA (bases 1-140)
Source: RNAcentral
GCAAACUUGGUCAUUUAGAGGAAGUAAAAGUCGUAACAAGGUUUCCGUAGGUAAGUGAAAGAUAUCCAUCUUAUUAUCUUUCUAUGCUUGAAUAACGUGCUAACUUUUUCCUUUUAGGUGAACCUGCGGAAGGAUCAUUACCAAGAGUGUAUGACCCACCUAGCAUAAAUAGGUUGGGUUAACCUCCCGUCCUUUGCUGGCCCCUUUUUUUUGAGGGAGCUUUUGAUUUCUGCUUCGGUGGGGUUACUCACCGGAACACCCUUAAAAAAAUUCUUUGUCCAAAAUUUGUUCAGUCCGAGGGUUUUAUUUUAAAAUAACGAAAAACUUUCAACAACGGAUCUCUUGGUUCUGGCAUCGAUGAAGAACGCAGC